AGAGUUUGAUCCUGGCUCAGGAUGAACGCUGGCGGCGUGCCUAAUACAUGCAAGUCGAGCGAACGGACGAGAAGCUUGCUUCUCUGAUGUUAGCGGCGGACGGGUGAGUAACACGUGGAUAACCUACCUAUAAGACUGGGAUAACUUCGGGAAACCGGAGCUAAUACCGGAUAAUAUUUUGAACCGCAUGGUUCAAAAGUGAAAGACGGUCUUGCUGUCACUUAUAGAUGGAUCCGCGCUGCAUUAGCUAGUUGGUAAGGUAACGGCUUACCAAGGCAACGAUGCAUAGCCGACCUGAGAGGGUGAUCGGCCACACUGGAACUGAGACACGGUCCAGACUCCUACGGGAGGCAGCAGUAGGGAAUCUUCCGCAAUGGGCGAAAGCCUGACGGAGCAACGCCGCGUGAGUGAUGAAGGUCUUCGGAUCGUAAAACUCUGUUAUUAGGGAAGAACAUAUGUGUAAGUAACUGUGCACAUCUUGACGGUACCUAAUCAGAAAGCCACGGCUAACUACGUGCCAGCAGCCGCGGUAAUACGUAGGUGGCAAGCGUUAUCCGGAAUUAUUGGGCGUAAAGCGCGCGUAGGCGGUUUUUUAAGUCUGAUGUGAAAGCCCACGGCUCAACCGUGGAGGGUCAUUGGAAACUGGAAAACUUGAGUGCAGAAGAGGAAAGUGGAAUUCCAUGUGUAGCGGUGAAAUGCGCAGAGAUAUGGAGGAACACCAGUGGCGAAGGCGACUUUCUGGUCUGUAACUGACGCUGAUGUGCGAAAGCGUGGGGAUCAAACAGGAUUAGAUACCCUGGUAGUCCACGCCGUAAACGAUGAGUGCUAAGUGUUAGGGGGUUUCCGCCCCUUAGUGCUGCAGCNNNNNNNNNNNNAACGCAUUAAGCACUCCGCCUGGGGAGUACGACCGCAAGGUUGAAACUCAAAGGAAUUGACGGGGACCCGCACAAGCGGUGGAGCAUGUGGUUUAAUUCGAAGCAACGCGAAGAACCUUACCAAAUCUUGACAUCCUUUGACAACUCUAGAGAUAGAGCCUUCCCCUUCGGGGGACAAAGUGACAGGUGGUGCAUGGUUGUCGUCAGCUCGUGUCGUGAGAUGUUGGGUUAAGUCCCGCAACGAGCGCAACCCUUAAGCUUAGUUGCCAUCAUUAAGUUGGGCACUCUAAGUUGACUGCCGGUGACAAACCGGAGGAAGGUGGGGAUGACGUCAAAUCAUCAUGCCCCUUAUGAUUUGGGCUACACACGUGCUACAAUGGACAAUACAAAGGGCAGCGAAACCGCGAGGUCAAGCAAAUCCCAUAAAGUUGUUCUCAGUUCGGAUUGUAGUCUGCAACUCGACUACAUGAAGCUGGAAUCGCUAGUAAUCGUAGAUCAGCAUGCUACGGUGAAUACGUUCCCGGGUCUUGUACACACCGCCCGUCACACCACGAGAGUUUGUAACACCCGAAGCCGGUGGAGUAACCUUUUAGGAGCUAGCCGUCGAAGGUGGGACAAAUGAUUGGGGUGAAGUCGUAACAAGGUAGCCGUAUCGGAAGGUGCGGCUGGAUCACCU
RNAcentral lists this ribosomal RNA (1551 nucleotides) under Staphylococcus aureus. RNAcentral describes it as "16S ribosomal RNA". It matches the Rfam family "Bacterial small subunit ribosomal RNA". Lineage: Bacteria; Bacillati; Bacillota; Bacilli; Caryophanales; Staphylococcaceae. The record is from RNAcentral.